GACUAACGCUGGCGGCGUGCCUAACACAUGCAAGUCGAACGGCCCCUUCGGGGUUAGUGGCAGACGGGUGAGUAACACGUAGGUAAUGUGCCCUCUUGCCGGGGAUAUCUGUUGGAAACGGCAGUUAAUACCGGAUGGUCCAACUUUGAGGCAUCUCUUAGUUGGUAAACUGAUUUAGGGUGAGAGGAGCAGCUUGCGGACCAUCAGCUAGUUGGUGAGGUAAUGGCCCACCAAGGCAACGACGGUUAGCCGGUCUGAGAGGAUGAUCGGCCACACUGGAACUGAGACACGGUCCAGACUCCUACGGGAGGCAGCAGUGAGGAAUAUUGCGCAAUGGGCGAAAGCCUGACGCAGCGACGCCGCGUGAGGGACGACGGCCUUCGGGUUGUAAACCUCUGUCAGUAGGGAAGAGAACGGACGGUACCUACUGAGGAAGCAUCGGCUUACUACGUGCCAGCAGCCGCGGUAAUACGUAGGAUGCGAGCGUUGUCCGGAUUUACUGGGCGUAAAGAGCUCGUAGGCGGGAACAUACGUCUGGGAGGAAAUGUCACGGCUUAACCGUGUCGCUUUCCCGGAUACGGUGUUUCUUGAGGGCAGAAGAGGAGAAUAGAAUUCCCAGUGUAGCGGUGAAAUGCGUAGAUAUUGGGAAGAAUACCAGUGGCGAAGGCGAUUCUCUGGUCUGUCUCUGACGCUGAGGAGCGAAAGUGUGGGUAGCGAACGGGAUUAGAUACCCCGGUAGUCCACACCGUAAACGAUGGAUACUAGGUGUAUGAGGUAUCGACCCCUUAUGUGCCGGAGCUAACGCAUUAAGUAUCCCGCCUGGGGAGUACGAUCGCAAGAUUGAAACUCAAAGGAAUUGACGGGGGCCCGCACAAGUGGUGGAGCAUGUGGUUUAAUUCGACGCUACGCGAAGAACCUUACCUGGGUUUGACAUCCUUCGGAAGUCGGCAGAGAUGCCGGUGCCUUCGGGCCGGAGGACAGGUGCUGCAUGGCUGUCGUCAGCUCGUGCCGUGAGGUGUUGGGUUAAGUCCCGCAACGAGCGCAACCCCUAUUUUUAGUUGCCAUCGGUUCGGCCGGGCACUCUAGAGAGACAGCCGUCGUAAGGCGGAGGAAGGCGGGGAUGACGUCAAGUCAGCAUGGCCCUUACGUCCAGGGCUACACACGUGCUACAAUGGCCGGUACAAAGGGUAGCGAAGCCGCGAGGUAGUGCCAAUCCCAUAAAGCCGGUCUCAGUCCGGAUUGUAGGCUGCAAUUCGCCUGCAUGAAGUCGGAAUCACUAGUAACCGCAGAUCAGCUACGCUGCGGUGAAUACGUUCUCGGGCCUUGUACACACCGCCCGUCACGUCAUGAAAGCGAGCCCUACCCGAAGACGCUGAGCUAACCGCAAGGAGGCAGGCGGCGACGGUAGAGCCCGUGAUUGGGACG
Molecule: ribosomal RNA, 1425 nt
Filed under: uncultured bacterium
Lineage: Bacteria
Description: bacterial SSU rRNA
Rfam family: Bacterial small subunit ribosomal RNA
Source: RNAcentral